CUACGUGCCAGCAGCCGCGGUAAUACGGAAGGUCCAGGCGUUAUCCGGAUUUAUUGGGUUUAAAGGGAGCGUAGGCUGGAGAUUAAGUGUGUUGUGAAAUGUAGACGCUCAACGUCUGAAUUGCAGCGCAUACUGGUUUCCUUGAGUACGCACAACGUUGGCGGAAUUCGUCGUGUAGCGGUGAAAUGCUUAGAUAUGACGAAGAACUCCGAUUGCGAAGGCAGCUGACGGGAGCGCAACUGACGCUUAAGCUCGAAGGUGCGGGUAUCAAACAGGAUUAGAUACCCUGGUAGUCCGCACAGUAAACGAUGGAUGCCCGCUGUUAGCGCCUGGCGUUAGCGGCUAAGCGAAAGCAUUAAGCAUCCCACCUGGGGAGUACGCCGGCAACGGUGAAACUCAAAGGAAUUGACGGGGGCCCGCACAAGCGGAGGAACAUGUGGUUUAAUUCGAUGAUACGCGAGGAACCUUACCCGGGCUUGACAU
Molecule: ribosomal RNA, 483 nt
Filed under: uncultured bacterium
Lineage: Bacteria
Description: bacterial SSU rRNA
Rfam family: Bacterial small subunit ribosomal RNA
Source: RNAcentral